This 808-nucleotide unclassified non-coding RNA is filed under the name Melitaea cinxia (Glanville fritillary). Its description in RNAcentral is "misc RNA ENSMCXG00005003439.1". Lineage: Eukaryota; Metazoa; Arthropoda; Insecta; Lepidoptera; Nymphalidae. The record is from RNAcentral.
AUUUAAUUGAUCACAAAACUUUUUGAAGCAGACUUGUUCGCUACUUGGUGGACGAUAUCGUCCACCAAGUACGAGUACAGAGUUCCUAAUCUCUUACUUAAAUAUCAGCACACGUGGCUUACGUAUCACGUAACGGACUAGGCAAAAAUAAGAAUCUUAAAGCUUAUGCAAAUACCAAUGUGAUAAAAUAAUGUGUGUGACUCUCUCAGUUUUUGGCAAAAAUUAAGGUAGAAAUUAUUAAAAAAAUUAUUUUAAACAAUAAUGCCAGGACUAACAACAAAGGCAAAUUCCAGAUUAGCCCCAGGUCUCGCCGACUACUGUAUGAUGCUCCGACGAAGGCAGAUUUUAGGUGUAAGUGUUCGUAGAAGUGCUACGGUACUAGGGGAUUUUAGAGUGAAAGGAAAUUAUCAGAGUGUAGACGAAGUGGGAAAAAUAAACAAAUACAUUUGAUUCGAAAUCGGCGCACGAUAGAAAGAGAAAGGAGUAGGAAGUGGCAGUCUCAGUGGCAGUGGAGGCAACCCACUCCAUCCCUAUUGCUCACUUCACUUCAGUUUAUCGCAGUUCUCAUUCAGCCUCCGCUAGUGAUUUAAUACAGAUCAUCCAGUAGGCAAAAAGACGAUCCACACUGAGUAUCCCGAAACACGGUAUCUACUCUGGAAUAAGAUUACUCCAACGUCUCUAACCCAAUGUCCAUCAGUCUUACUACAAAUAUGACCAAUCAAAAACUUUACUUUGCUUAUUCUACAGUCUAUGUCGGUUAUAUUCAUUCUGUCGGGAUAAUCUCAUUUUUGAGCGUAGCCCGUUGAGC